GCCUAUAACCAGUUCCUCACAGGCUUCCACAUAUCUUGCAGGCAGUGAAAUUCGCAAAUGCCAGCAGUGUCAGAUACUUCAGAAAAUACACAGACUCUGGAAAUAUCCCAGCCUUCUGAAAUUCUUUCCUUCCUCCUGUCCUGCUGUUAACCCCAUUCACACAGAUGGUGACAAUAGGAAGGCACAAUGGUGGCUGAUAAACUCUGCACAUUGCUGCAUUCAUUCAUUCAUCUCCCCUCCAACCAACUGCACUUUGUGACUCAGGCUUAAAAAGCACUAGGGGGCCUCCCCUCAGAGGACCAAGAGGACAAGCUUGUCUUUCCCUUUCUGGAAGUUUGACUGAAACAGCCUCAGACUUUCUGAAGACAUAUUUUGCAAGUGGCCAUCAUAACCACUGGUUACAGUACGUGUGCAGUAUCACUGUCCAUAAUUACUGGGCUGCUCCAUCUCUGCCCUAGCACUAAUUACUAAGCAGACUGGAGGCCUCGCAGAACCCAACAUCAUUACAGACUGUAGCCAUUUUCUGAUGAUUUCAACUGUCCCAGAAAUCCCCAUCUGCCUGAAAGCUCUCGAUGAACUGGAAAAGUUCAUAAGGAAGAACAGGAGGGCAUCCAAAAGCAAACUACAGAUGUACCACAGUGGAAAGUGAAGAGUCAAACCUGGAGAGUUUGAGAAGAAGGCAAGAGAAAGUA
Molecule: non-coding RNA, 692 nt
Organism: Meleagris gallopavo (turkey)
Lineage: Eukaryota; Metazoa; Chordata; Aves; Galliformes; Phasianidae
Source: RefSeq, a predicted model, not a curated record